UUGCAGGUGAUGGGGGAAGACAUCACAAAUUGGUGACCGUCAGUUGGUGGCAUCACUGGAUUUGUUUUUGAGAAAAGCAGCUUUAAGGACUCACUGCUGCACAGACAAGUCGGAAGAGGCUGGAAACAGGGAAACAUGUUAAGAAUGCCUGCUGCCGCAUGCUGAGGACCAGAAGACAAAAGCAUGGUGGUGAAUCAAAGUUGCAGUUCAAGCCCUAAAAGAGAAUUUCUAUUAAAAUGGACAACAGAUGUGAACAAAGAAAAGAAACAGAUCAAAGAUGUGAACUCCAUCCAUGAGAUUAUUUGCAAACACAAAGCAGGAUAUGGUUGACCUCAGAAUAGGAAUUCAGAAAUCUCCCUGCCUGCCUCUUUGCCACUAAGAAAACAGACACUGGUUCCCCAAACCCCUGAUUAAGAAAGAAGCUGGAAGACCAUGCAGAAGUGUUUUCAGACUGA
Non-coding RNA from Vicugna pacos (alpaca), 455 nucleotides. Lineage: Eukaryota; Metazoa; Chordata; Mammalia; Artiodactyla; Camelidae. The record is from RefSeq and is a predicted model, not a curated record.